AGAUCACAUAAACGAUAGGCAAUACAGCGUUCUAGGUUACAUCGAUAGAGAU
RNAcentral lists this unclassified non-coding RNA (52 nucleotides) under Leishmania tarentolae. RNAcentral's name for it is "guide RNA". Lineage: Eukaryota; Euglenozoa; Kinetoplastea; Trypanosomatida; Trypanosomatidae. The record is from RNAcentral.